Long non-coding RNA from Falco peregrinus (peregrine falcon), 1298 nucleotides. RefSeq lists it as uncharacterized. The record is from RefSeq and is a predicted model, not a curated record. The transcript is spliced from 6 exons. Lineage: Eukaryota; Metazoa; Chordata; Aves; Falconiformes; Falconidae.
UCAGAAUUGGAAAUACAAUGGAUAAAAUUGUACUUUGAUUUUGUUGUAUCAGAUCUACCUAGGGAAUAGAAUAGCCAUCCAGCCUCCAGAUUUGUCUGUUUGAAGGCUUCUGUGCAUGGUGGGUAGAAUGUGCUAUUGAGGAAAGCUAGUGUUUAGGUAGGAAUACAUACACGUAUUGUUUUCUUGUUGGCAAUGACCUAGUUUGUCUGCUGUACUGAACAUGCUGUUUACGCUGGCUUUUGUAGGACAAGCAGUGUAUACAGGUGCCAGAAUUGUCUCUGUGAAGAUCUGCCAUGUUUUGACAAAUACUGUUUGAUGUCAAAACCUCCUACUUCCUCUCGAUGAAAUUUGGUGACUUGAGUGCCUAGAUCCAAGAUCCAGUUGCGGUCCUGGACAGCAAAGCUUGGGUGGACUCUGGACAGGGAGCAGAGAACACUUGCUUGUGGAUCCUUGAGCAACUAGUGCAGACUGUUCUUCUUGGAGAAGGGAAUAUGAGCUAUUAAUGGGAAAAACUGCUGGAUCACAGAAUUACAGACUGAUUUGGGAUGUGAGUGGAUGGAUGCGAGUUUCCUUUGGUAAUCACCAUUUAUGCUGAGCCAUGAGGGCUAUGCCAUAAGCUUAACACCUAUCAAGUUCUUUCAGUGGUCAUCUAAUAAUUCAAUGAGACAAAAAUCCAUGUGUGUAACCAAGUCACAAGACACGAUACACUGACUUGACAGUAGAAGAUGGGCUGGCAAAGGGUUUCCAAAAGAUUAGGCCGAGGGAAGGCAUCAAGUCUGCGAGCAUGGCCUUUAGAAAGAUUGAGGCUACAGCUAGUGUUAUGAAGUUAGUGAAAUACAUACUUUCAGAUCUCCUGAGAUAUUGGCUCCUGCAAGAAUGCCAGUGGCAGCUGGGAAAAAAAUGGCAAACACCGAGAAAAAUCCUUCUCCGCUUCUGAAAUCUGGUCCAAAGUUUUCUGCAAAUAUUGAUGCUGUAAAUAUAGGUGAAAAUGAAACAUACCACCAGGAUUUGAUUUCAAAGUUACUUACUGAAGAAGGUUUACCUUUGCUUCCCAUUCCAUGCCAGCAACAGAGAUGCCGAGAAGACAUACAACAGUUAUGGUACCUAUUAUUCUGAUGUCGUUGGACUCAUCUACCAUCAGUGUAUCACUCUCCUGAAAGCAAAAUGCAGAUAUGUUUCUCACCAGCACACCCUUCACCCAUCCGAACUUGACAAAUCCUGUUUUGUUUUCUUCUUCCUUGCUGACUGCUGUCUCAUCUCCAGUGGUGCUUUCUCCAUUAGCCACUCUCUCGACUGAG